Molecule: ribosomal RNA, 755 nt
Filed under: Pteridomonas danica
Lineage: Eukaryota; Dictyochophyceae; Pedinellales
Description: partial Bacterial large subunit ribosomal RNA
Rfam family: Bacterial large subunit ribosomal RNA
Source: RNAcentral
AGUACCCGGAGGAAAAGAAAUCAACCGAGAUUCCCUAAGUAGCGGCGAGCGAAAGGGGAGUAGCCCUUAAGUUUCUUAUGGUUUAGUGGAACGCUCUGGAAAGUGCGGCCAUAGUGGGUGAUAGCCCCGUACACGAAAAGCCAUUUGAGAUGAAAUCGAGUAGGUCGGGACACGUGAUAUCCUGAUUGAAUAUGGGGGGACCAUCCUCCAAGGCUAAAUACUCCUGCCAGACCGAUAGUGAACCAGUACCGUGAGGGAAAGGCGAAAAGAACCCCGGUGAGGGGAGUGAAAUAGAUCCUGAAACCGCGUACGUACAAGCAGUAGGAGCCUCUUCGUGGGGUGACUGCGUACCUUUUGUAUAAUGGGUCAGCGAGUUAUUGUCAGUAGCAAGGUUAACCGUUUAGGGGAGCCGUAGGGAAACCGAGUCUUAAUAGGGCGAAUUAGUUGCUGGUAAUAGACCCGAAACCGGGCGAUCUAGCCAUGGCCAGGUUGAAGGUGCCGUAACAGGCACUGGAGGACCGAACCCACCUAUGUUGAAAAAUGGGGGGAUGAGCUGUGGCUCGGAGUGAAAGGCUAAUCAAGCUCGGAGAUAGCUGGUUCUCCUCGAAAACUAUUUAGGUAGUGCCUCAUGUCUCACCACUGGGGGUAGAGCACUGUUUCGGCUAGGGGGUCAUCCCGACUUACCAACCCGAUGCAAACUCCGAAUACCAGUGAGUUUUAUCACGGGAGACAGACGGCGGGUGCUAACGUCCGUC